GAAAGAUGGUUCUGCUAUCACUCUUGGAUGGACCUGCGGUGCAUUAGCUAGUUGGUAAGGUAACGGCUUACCAAGGCAAUGAUGCAUAGCCGAGUUGAGAGACUGAUCGGCCACAUUGGGACUGAGACACGGCCCAAACUCCUACGGGAGGCAGCAGUAGGGAAUCUUCCACAAUGGACGAAAGUCUGAUGGAGCAACGCCGCGUGAGUGAAGAAGGGUUUCGGCUCGUAAAGCUCUGUUGGUAGUGAAGAAAGAUAGAGGUAGUAACUGGCCUUUAUUUGACGGUAAUUACUUAGAAAGUCACGGCUAACUACGUGCCAGCAGCCGCGGUAAUACGUAGGUGGCAAGCGUUGUCCGGAUUUAUUGGGCGUAAAGCGAGUGCAGGCGGUUCAAUAAGUCUGAUGUGAAAGCCUUCGGCUCAACCGGAGAAUUGCAUCAGAAACUGUUGAACUUGAGUGCAGAAGGGGAGAGUGGAACUCCAUGUGUAGCGGUGGAAUGCGUAGAUAUAUGGAAGAACACCAGUGGCGAAGGCGGCUCUCUGGUCUGCAACUGACGCUGAGGCUCGAAAGCAUGGGUAGCGAACAGGAUUAGAUACCCUGGUAGUCCAUGCCGUAAACGAUGAGUGCUAAGUGUUGGGAGGUUUCCGCCUCUCA
Molecule: ribosomal RNA, 653 nt
Filed under: uncultured bacterium
Lineage: Bacteria
Description: bacterial SSU rRNA
Rfam family: Bacterial small subunit ribosomal RNA
Source: RNAcentral